GACGAACGCUGGCGGCGUGCCUAAUACAUGCAAGUCGAGCGAAGUUUUUCUGGUGCUUGCACCGGAAAAACUUAGCGGCGAACGGGUGAGUAACACGUAAAGAACCUGCCUCAUAGACUGGGACAACUAUUGGAAACGAUAGCUAAUACCGGAUAAUAGCAUUAACUGCAUGGUUGAUGUUUAAAAGUUGGUUUUGCUAACACUAUGAGAUGGCUUUGCGGUGCAUUAGCUAGUUGGUGGGGUAAAGGCCUACCAAGGCGACGAUGCAUAGCCGACCUGAGAGGGUGAUCGGCCACACUGGGACUGAGACACGGCCCAGACUCCUACGGGAGGCAGCAGUAGGGAAUCUUCCGCAAUGGGCGAAAGCCUGACGGAGCAACGCCGCGUGAGUGAAGAAGGAUUUCGGUUCGUAAAGCUCUGUUGUUAGGGAAGAAUGAUUGUGUAGUAACUAUACACAGUAGAGGCGGUACCUAACCAGAAAGCCACGGCUAACUACGUG
This 499-nucleotide ribosomal RNA is filed under the name uncultured bacterium. Its description in RNAcentral is "partial 16S ribosomal RNA". It matches the Rfam family "Bacterial small subunit ribosomal RNA", at positions 28 to 507 of the family's 1533-position model. The record is from RNAcentral.